UGAUGUCUCGAGUUGGGUGGAUCUGUUG
RNAcentral lists this non-coding RNA (28 nucleotides) under Mus musculus (house mouse). Lineage: Eukaryota; Metazoa; Chordata; Mammalia; Rodentia; Muridae. The record is from RNAcentral.